Molecule: ribosomal RNA, 499 nt
Filed under: uncultured bacterium
Lineage: Bacteria
Description: partial 16S ribosomal RNA
Rfam family: Bacterial small subunit ribosomal RNA
Source: RNAcentral
GACGAACGCUGGCGGCGUGCCUAAUACAUGCAAGUCGAGCGAAGUUUUUCUGGUGCUUGCACCGGAAAAACUUAGCGGCGAACGGGUGAGUCACACGUAAAGAACCUGCCUCAUAGACUGGGACAACUAUUGGAAACGAUAGCUAAUACCGGAUAAUAGCAUUAACUGCAUGGUUGAUGUUUAAAAGUUUGUUUUGCUAACACUAUGAGAUGGCUUUGCGGUGCAUUAGCUAGUUGGUGGGGUAAAGGCCUACCAAGGCGACGAUGCAUAGCCGACCUGAGAGGGUGAUCGGCCACACUGGGACUGAGACACGGCCCAGACUCCUACGGGAGGCAGCAGUAGGGAAUCUUCCGCAAUGGGCGAAAGCCUGACGGAGCAACGCCGCGUGAGUGAAGAAGGAUUUCGGUUCGUAAAGCUCUGUUGUUAGGGAAGAAGGAUUGUGUAGUAACUAUACACAGUAGAGACGGUACCUAACCAGAAAGCCACGGCUAACUACGUG